UCAUCACCUUGGCCUUUAUUAUAUAUUGAUCUUAACCAGCAACACUGUCAAACCUCCAUAUGUAAGAGUUUUUAAAAUUCAAAGAACUCCAACUCUUCAAGCCAUCUAAAUUGUGCUGUACCACCAUUCUUACAAGUCACCUUUUUUGAAGGCCAAAAUUUCAGAUCAUUGCAGCCCCUCAAUAGCGUCCCCAUUCUCAGAUAUUACAAAUCCACUUGACUACUCACGUGGCCGGUUGUCAAACAAUAGACCAAAAAAAUCUACAAAGAGAGUUAUGGAAAGAGGGUCAUCUUCAACAUUGAAACCAAAACGCUCACGUAGGAGAGUUGAUUUCAUUGUACCAUGGGAGUCAUCAGUGGAAACCUCAGACCAAUCACUAUCUCAAUUUGAUGCCACAAUGUUACCAGGUUUUUAGUUGUUCAUUUAGCUGCACUGAUUAAAUAUUUCGCUCAAUUUCCAUGAGAUUAAUUGUAUUCCAUUUAACCAAUUACGUAAAUCCCAUACAUGUAUAUAUUAUCAUUGUGUAUUUCACACUACAAUUGUUUUAGGCAUCCUUUCAUAGCUCUGUCAUCAAUUAUCAUGAAGUCCCAAAAGAUGUAUAUACAUGUAUAGCAAUUUUAUCAAUGUUACUAGCUAUUAUCAUGUACAUGGAUUUUAUGUUUUA
Molecule: long non-coding RNA, 664 nt
Organism: Lotus japonicus
Lineage: Eukaryota; Viridiplantae; Streptophyta; Magnoliopsida; Fabales; Fabaceae
Exons: 4
Source: RefSeq, a predicted model, not a curated record